This 229-nucleotide ribosomal RNA is filed under the name uncultured bacterium. RNAcentral's name for it is "partial 16S ribosomal RNA". It matches the Rfam family "Bacterial small subunit ribosomal RNA", at positions 568 to 796 of the family's 1533-position model. The record is from RNAcentral.
UGCGUAGGCGGAAUAUUAAGUCAGUGGUGAAAUCCUGCGGCUCAACCGUAGAACGGCCAUUGAUACUGAUAUUCUUGAAUGUAGUUGAGGUAGGCGGAAUGUGUAAUGUAGCGGUGAAAUGCUUAGAUAUUACACAGAACACCGAUUGCGAAGGCAGCUUACUAAGCUAUGAUUGACGCUGAGGCACGAAAGCGUGGGGAGCGAACAGGAUUAGAUACCCUGGUAGUCC